RNAcentral lists this ribosomal RNA (449 nucleotides) under uncultured bacterium. RNAcentral describes it as "SSU rRNA". It matches the Rfam family "Bacterial small subunit ribosomal RNA", at positions 26 to 518 of the family's 1533-position model. The record is from RNAcentral.
AGAGCGAACGCUGGCGGCAGGCUUAACACAUGCAAGUCGAGCGGGCGUAGCAAUACGUCAGCGGCAGACGGGUGAGUAACGCGUGGGAACAUACCUUUUGGUUCGGAACAACACAGGGAAACUUGUGCUAAUACCGGAUAAGCCCUUACGGGGAAAGAUUUAUCGCCGAAAGAUUGGCCCGCGUCUGAUUAGCUAGUUGGUGAGGUAAUGGCUCACCAAGGCGACGAUCAGUAGCUGGUCUGAGAGGAUGAUCAGCCACAUUGGGACUGAGACACGGCCCAAACUCCUACGGGAGGCAGCAGUGGGGAAUAUUGGACAAUGGGCGCAAGCCUGAUCCAGCCAUGCCGCGUGAGUGAUGAAGGCCCUAGGGUUGUAAAGCUUCUUUUGUGCGGGAAGAUAAUGACGGUACCGCAAGAAUAAGCCCCGGCUAACUUCGCGCCAGCAGCCGC